AGUUUCCUUCAUUUUUGUGUUCGCGCUAGCGACAUUCUUCGCAGCGCGCUGCAGUGCUUGUGCCUUCGUCCAAGCUAGAAAGGCGCGGACUUCGUGACCGUAGGGGGCCAAAACCACGUUGUGCACGCAGCAGAGGACACCGCCGAAAAAAGCGCGCUUCGCUACGAAAUAUGGGGCGGCAUAUGGUCAAGCAAGAUGUCCCAGAUUAGGCUGGCUGCGAUACCCAGUGCGCUAGUUACUUUAUCCGGGGCGCCGGGGCCCUCCGGGCGUAUCUGAUGUGUGGUGCGAUAGCGGCAUGCGAUACGUAUUUGUGCGUAGUCGGUGCUCUUCGUUUUCGCUGAUAUGUCGGGAACGGUUUCAACCGAUGACCUAGUGCUUGCGAUAUGCACUUUCUGCUUAAAGUUUACGCUAUCUUAUUAGUUUAUCUUCCUGUUGAAGUGCGGAUAUGAAGAAAAAAAAAAAAUGUUGUGGAUUCACGAAGGGAGUUGUGCACCGAAAGUCGUGAGUACUGUCGGCACCGAAGACUUGCGGUGGAUCGGAUUUCACGAGAGAACAUAAUUUGCGCAUUCAGGCUGCUCAGGAAUAGAGUACUGCCUUGGUCGCGUUAACUAGAUCAGCCAGGAACGUUGGUUCUAAAGUUUCACGCCCAUAUUCCAUGCUGGUGCCACACGAGCUCGUUCGAUCGCGAUAGCGCUCAAUCAGGAUCGAAUUUCUCAGUAUAAGUUGGCUCCAUUUGCGCAGGCUGCUUCGCGGCCGGUAUAUUCGAUCCUUAUUGGGCUUGUUCCCUUAAAAAAAGUGGUUUUCUGACACCCAUAAUAACGUGUUUUCAUAGAUAUCGAGCCCCGCAAUCUUUCAGUGCCGACAAUGGUGACCUAUAACAACAGGUGAUGAAUUUACGAGUAACGUGUGAAAGUUUGUGUGUGACGACGUUUAUGGCUGCUAGUGACAUUAAUUUCAGAUGCCGUCUGCUUGCAACAUUUAUCGAAUGGUGAUGGUGGAGAGGCCUUGCAGAUGACGUUGUUUGGAAAGCAGAAUAUGACAUCGUGGUUGUAACAGCUAAGUGAACUGGUACUCGGCGUUUCUUUGGUUGAUUGCGCGUGACACUUGGGUGGAUUGUUCACAUUCACAUAGGACCUGGCUUGCUCGAGAAAGCUAGGUCCUAUGCAUGCUUUGAAAGAAUGAAGAACAUACAACGAUAAAUGUGCUGCUCCAAACAGUAAUUUUCGUCAGUGAUUGCUCCAAACGUGCUCCGAAAUGACGCUGAAAGAAUGAGAAUGACGGAUUUUUACUUUGACUGACUCAUAAGUGCUAACGAAACCGAAAAGAGUCUGUGUAUUAUCAUCCCAUUGUGCUACUAGUAUGCAGCAUUAUCGGCUCGGAUCUCAUUUGUGCGGCAAGAACAGGCAUAUGAAACAUAGCUCAUUUGGCUGUUUUUUUUUCUCCUGAGCUAGACAUGCAGACUAGUGUGGUGGAAUGUAAAAAUGAGUAGGAUUGCUUUUAUAGCGAUUAUCUGCUGCUUAUUUGGAAACAGUUAUAUGGGACUGUGGUUACUUCUAAAAUGUGGCACUCAGAUUUUCCUGUUUUUAUAUAAUUUUUGCCACAAAUACUAUUAUAUUAAAUUGUAGCUUAUUUCACUGCACAUUUUUGACAACAGGCCUUUGCUUGGUUCAUGAAAUUUAUUGAUUGUUGUCUCUUAAAUAUAUUUGUAUUUACGAGGUGCUUUGACUUUGCUUAAAGCUCCAAUUAUGUGUGGCAAAUUUAAUGUCUGCUUCUAAAACAUCAGAAGUUGCUCUGAACUAGCAUUUUUUUUUCUGCUCCUAAAACGCUUAGGGCUGCUCUAAAGCAGCAUUUUUCGAGCUCCAAAGUAUGGUCCUACAAGUAAGAAAAGUCUCUUCUAUCGCUGUCGCUAUUCCGGAUUCAUUAUAGCGCUUGCUGCAGUGUUAUUUUACUUGUGUAGUACCACAACAGCUUGUGAAUGAAGCGCGGAAGAACUCGCCACACAGAAUAAAAUCUUUAAAGUGGUGGACAAGGGGAAAGAAAUGGACUUUGUUCAAUUUGUGUGCCUGAUGCUAACCUUGUGUAUUUUCUCUUUUUUACAGUGUGUCGGCUUGAAGAAAUCCAUCAUCUUCAGAACUUGUCACAUAUGGCGCAUUCCUUUUUGCUUUUUUUGUCAUUGCAAGGCUGGAGUGCCUUGUGGAGCUUUCUGAGUUUGAGAUGAUAUGUGACUGUGCUUGUUAUGCUUUCCUGGUCGAGUUGGCCUUGUCGAAAAAUUUACUUUUGUAGGCAGUUCUUGCAGAUAUUCGGUUUUGUUCCAUCAGUGUUUGUAUGAAUUGUUAUUACAGCAGUUUUGUUGCCAUGAAGUAUUGCUGCUUGUUUUGAAUAGCACUCUUUUAUAACUUCACUUGGUUGUGGUGUAGUGAUGCUGAGGUGUCAAGCUAAUGGGAACAUAGUAGUCACUAUUGGGCUAAUUGGUGUAUGUCUAGAAUCGGUAGUUGACUUCAUGCCAACAGCAUAACCAUAGUGGAAGACGAAGCAAUGCAUAAACAGGACAAGAGCUCAUAACUGUUCACUUUUUGAGGAAGGCAAAUAAAUCCACUGUUCGGCAACGCAUGAGCCUUUGUCACAUGCACAUAAUAACGUGCCCCAAGGCUUGAACGAGUUGUUCGUGCAGUAAACAGUUGUACGCAAGCGGUCGUCCUGUCUGUGUGUUUCCUCGUUUUUCAGUGUGGUCUUGGCACGAAGUACUGUUAAUCGGAAAAUGUUAAAAGGACAGCUACAUAAGUUGUAUAACAUCAAAAUGAGAUCCAUAAGACUGACAUAUCAAUAAUGUUUGCAUAUUUGUCAGAUUUACUUGUUCUAACACAUCAAUAUUCCUGCAUAUUUAUUUCCUUUAGUUAUUGUUUGAGGUUAAUGUUCAGUGCUUGUGCUUUUGAUACCAAAUGUAAUGUCUUUCCUUUGCACGUAAACUUAUUGGUUUCUCAUUCACCAUGAAGGAAAAUUGGUAUCAAGCGUAAUAUGACACAAUUACUGUACAAAGAUGGCAAGGACAAGGGAACAGCUAGCAUGGUCUUGUGCUUCUUCUUCAAAUCCUUGUCCUCUUUGUGCUACUAAGGAUAAGCAUGUCUUGAGCAAUGUACUGCCGCGGUCGAAAUGAGCUCUCACAUACGCCGUGCCUGCUGUUGAGGUGGGGCCAGCGCAUAGAAAAAUUGAAGCUAAUAUUGUUUUUAUUACUCAAAUAUUGUUAAUCAAUUUAGUAUUUUUUAUUUGUCAUUGCAUUGUUGCACUUAUUUUGCUUCUCUAAAAUUUUGACGAGGACCGCUUAGCAAUCAUUACUAGUCAGUUGCCACCUCUAUAAACAUGAAUUCAAUUCAUUUUUGAUGUGUAAAUUACAAUGUCACUAACAUUUCUUUCUUAAAAAAUACACUAAGUUAUAUCUCUACACUUACGAACAUGUUUGUUGAAUAUAUCAUGGUGUGGUUGACAUAUCUUUAUUCACAAGUUGUGGGUGUCAUAUCAAGUGUUUUAUCAUUUCUGCAUUUAUCUACGCGUCAGCCCCUUUAUUACUUCUACAAUGUAAAAACAGUUGCAUCGUAAGGUAGUCUUGGUGUCCGACAACAAUAAUAAUUUGGCAUGCCUGCAUCUUCUUUUGUCAGAAAUGUGCUCACCAGUUUUCUUUCAAGAAUACUACGUUGCUCUUGUAGUGUGCACGCUGUUCAUGGUCUGGACCUACUGGACACAGCUUUACAGCAAGUUGAAGACGUGCAGGAUGGAUGAAUAUUAUUGUUCUUUGAUGUGAUGAAAACGUGUUUAAAAAAAAUGCAACUCUUUAUAAAGUGCACCUCUUUCUCUAUAAUUAUGUCUCCUAUACAGUAGUUAUAUCAGAGUUUCUUUGAAGUCAGUUAUUCUCUAAACUCUGGAAUAUCCUGUUGCAGUUACUUUCUAGAGGUAACACUGCCAUGUCGUUUAACGUAAGCUUGAGUGUUUCAGUAGGUGCUCCCAGUUUCAAGUCAUAAAUUGUUUUGGGCUAAUCUGUUCAUUUUCAGGCUUCUUAAAAAGUAAAAGCACAAAAAGUGGAUGCCACAGGCGUUGACUAACACCUUAUUAGGCAGCGCGGGUUCCUUCGUGCAUGUGUCUUUUCACUGCCGCUUUCUAACAGGUCCCAGCUUGGUUUUUACUGUAGGAGUAUAUUGUCAUGUGAUACAAAUUGAUCGAGUGAUUGAUUUAAGAAAUUGAUGGAUCUUCUCUGCAUUAGGCCUAACAAUUUUCAAGCUGGAGCCGUCCGACAAGGUUCCCGGGUCCUGGGUUCCUGCUGCGAGCUCGUACGAGGGAGCUGACGGGUUCGAGACCCUGCGAGACCUGGUGGCUCAAGCACAAGCGGCAGCCGAUGCCCCCAUGUUCUCAAACCAGGCCGCCGUCUGUCCAGUAGGGCAAGUGAGACCUGGGUUGCCAACGUAACUACUUGAGGACGAGCCUAACAACGCCUUGCAGCAUUCUUGAUUGGCCGUAUUUCAAGCGGAUCCAAUCACUUCUGGGUUCUACCCUGUGAUUGAGCAAGCUGCUGCCUAAGAAACAACUGCGGCCUUUCAACUGCCGCCGAGAUGACAAAUGGUUAGAGGGGCACAAGUUGCCGCAGUUCUCUGAUGAUAUACAGCCUCUGCUACAAGGUGCUGAGCUGACCAGGGAGGAACACUACAGGCUGUCGAAGCAGUUCCGUCGCGAGAUUAUCGACUUUCUGAAUAGAUGCAACUUGAUAUCAGACCCGAGCAGUGGCGGCCGCCGCUGGAAGUACCACUACCUGGGACUAACACUCGCAUCUGAAUUCCCAAAGCUCCAGUGGGACUUCAGAGGACACAAAGCAUCUUACGGUGACCACACAAAAGCCAAGUCAAAGUUUCUCUCGAAGUUGGCCGAGGCUCGUCGUCACCAGCUUGCAAGGGCCAAGAUAAGGAUGUGCCGGGGAACCUUGAGCCCUCCUUCUGAAACCACUGGCUCAGCCUGCCUUUCAACAGCAUGGAAGGGGCUCUUGGAAAGAAAGCUUUCUGUCCAUCUUGCGCGGUUUCCUGCAAAGGACUUGCCUUAAACUUGGAAAAGAGAAAACGGUUCAACAAGCACACACCACGUAAAGAGGAAGCAAUAUUGCUCGCCUUAGCAUUGUUGAAUAGGUGAUAUGAUGAACAAGAAUUGCACAAUAUUACCAUCAACCUAAAAUUUUUUUAUGUGACUUUUGAAACUAUAAACGAGAUGUUAUUUCAUAUUU
This 5257-nucleotide unclassified non-coding RNA is filed under the name Rhipicephalus microplus (southern cattle tick). Its description in RNAcentral is "uncharacterized LOC119172015, transcript variant X1". Lineage: Eukaryota; Metazoa; Arthropoda; Arachnida; Ixodida; Ixodidae. The record is from RNAcentral.